This is a microRNA precursor of Gadus morhua (Atlantic cod), 59 nucleotides long. Lineage: Eukaryota; Metazoa; Chordata; Actinopteri; Gadiformes; Gadidae. The record is from Ensembl.
CAGGUAGUUUCAUGUUGUUGGGAUUCGCUUCCUGGCUCGGCAACAAGAAACUGCCUCGA